AUUGAACGCUGGCGGCAGGCCUAACACAUGCAAGUCGAGCGGAUGAAGGGAGCUUGCUCCUGGAUUCAGCGGCGGACGGGUGAGUAAUGCCUAGGAAUCUGCCUGGUAGUGGGGGAUAACGUCCGGAAACGGGCGCUAAUACCGCAUACGUCCUGAGGGAGAAAGUGGGGGAUCUUCGGACCUCACGCUAUCAGAUGAGCCUAGGUCGGAUUAGCUAGUUGGUGGGGUAAGGCCUACCAAGGCGACGAUCCGUAACUGGUCUGAGAGGAUGAUCAGUCACACUGGAACUGAGACACGGUCCAGACUCCUACGGGAGGCAGCAGUGGGGAAUAUUGGACAAUGGGCGAAAGCCUGAUCCAGCCAUGCCGCGUGUGUGAAGAAGGUCUUCGGAUUGUAAAGCACUUUAAGUUGGGAGGAAGGGCAGUAAGUUAAUACCUUGCUGUUUUGACGUUACCAACAGAAUAAGCACCGGCUAACUUCGU
RNAcentral lists this ribosomal RNA (482 nucleotides) under uncultured bacterium. Its description in RNAcentral is "partial 16S ribosomal RNA". It matches the Rfam family "Bacterial small subunit ribosomal RNA", at positions 30 to 506 of the family's 1533-position model. The record is from RNAcentral.